This 819-nucleotide ribosomal RNA is filed under the name uncultured eukaryote. Its description in RNAcentral is "partial Eukaryotic small subunit ribosomal RNA". It matches the Rfam family "Eukaryotic small subunit ribosomal RNA", at positions 135 to 866 of the family's 1831-position model. The record is from RNAcentral.
AAAAUUGGAUACCUUGGCGAAAAGCCAAGCUAAUACAUGAACCAAUCGGAUGUCCUCCGUUCACGUAGUGGGGGUUUCGGCCCUUACUGCAGCGAGGCGUCCAGCGAAUGAAUGCUUUUAAAACCAAUGCCGCGGACGCGGCAGCAACACCCAGAAGUGUUGAAUCAAUUCAUUCCGUGCGAAAGCCGGUUUACCGGCGUCUUUUGACGAACAACUGCUCUAUCAGCCAGUGAUGGCCGUGUAGUGGACUGCCAUGGCGUUGACGGAAGCGGGGGAUUAGGGUUCGAUUCCGGAGAGGGAGCCUGAGAAAUAGCUACCACUUCUACGGAGGGCAGCAGGCGCGCAAAUUGCCCAAUGACAAAAAAAAUGUUGAGGCAGCGAAAAGAAAUAGGCCUCCCAAAUACCUCUACGGUGUUUGGGAGUUUACAAUGGGGGAUAUUUAAAGCCAUCCAAUAUCGAGUAUCAAUUGGAGGACAAGUCUGGUGCCAGCACCCGCGGUAAUUCCAGCUCCAAAAGCGUAUAUUAACGCUGUUGCUGUUAAAGGGUUCGUAGUUGAACUGAGGGCUACCAAGGAGAGGUUCCAGUCCCACCCGCCUUUGGGUCGGUGACCGCCGCUCUUGGAGCUCGUGAACAUUCGAAACAGAGCGCGGGAUCGGUUUCUUCCCAAUUCACGCGUGUCAUGCACGCUGGGGGACGCCCGCGAUUCUUACUGUGACUAAAAAAGUGCGACCAAAGCAGUCGUUCGACAUGAAUUAGAAAGCAUGGGAUAACAAAGGAGCAACCUACGGUACUACCGUUUUGGCUUUUGUUGGUUUUAAA